Molecule: ribosomal RNA, 253 nt
Filed under: uncultured bacterium
Lineage: Bacteria
Description: partial 16S ribosomal RNA
Rfam family: Bacterial small subunit ribosomal RNA
Source: RNAcentral
AACGUAGGAUCCGAGCGUUAUCCGAAUUCACUGGGCGUAAAGCGCGAGUAGGCGGCAUAACAAGUUGGAUGUAAAAACUUCCGGCUCAACUGGGAGAGGACGUUCAAUACUGUUAGGCUAGAGGACGGUAGAGGGAGGUGGAAUUCCCGGUGUAGUGGUGAAAUGCGUAGAUAUCGGGAGGAACACCAGAGGCGAAGGCGGCCUCCUGGACCGUAACUGACGCUGAGAAGCGAAAGCUAGGGGAGCGAACGGG